CGCACAAGCGGUGGAGCAUGUGGUUUAAUUCGAUGCAACGCGAAGAACCUUACCUGGUCUUGACAUCCACAGAACUUAGCAGAGAUGCUUUGGUGCCUUCGGGAACUGUGAGACAGGUGCCGCAUGGCUGUCGUCAGCUCGUGUUGUGAAAUGUUGGGUUAAGUCCCGCAACGAGCGCAACCCUUAUCCUUUGUUGCCAGCGGUUAGGCCGGGAACUCAAAGGAGACUGCCAGUGAUAAACUGGAGGAAGGUGGGGAUGACGUCAAGUCAUCAUGGCCCUUACGACCAGGGCUACACACGUGCUACAAUGGCGCAUACAAAGAGAAGCGACCUCGCGAGAGCAAGCGGACCUCAUAAAGUGCGUCGUAGUCCGGAUUGGAGUCUGCAACUCGACUCCAUGAAGUCGGAAUCGCUAGUAAUCGUAGAUCAGAAUGCUACGGUGAAUACGUUCCCGGGCCCUGUACACACCGCCCGUCACACCAUGGGAGUGGGUUGCAAAUGAAGUAGGUAGCUAA
This 515-nucleotide ribosomal RNA is filed under the name uncultured Enterobacter sp. RNAcentral's name for it is "bacterial SSU rRNA". It matches the Rfam family "Bacterial small subunit ribosomal RNA", at positions 922 to 1437 of the family's 1533-position model. The record is from RNAcentral. Lineage: Bacteria; Pseudomonadati; Pseudomonadota; Gammaproteobacteria; Enterobacterales; Enterobacteriaceae.